AAUGAACACUUCUUCUAGAACACCAGGCAAGAAUAAAGGCCCAGAAACCUUUUAUUCAGUCUACAGCUUCCUGGAAAUCCAUCAAAUCUCUGCAAGAGUCUCUGUCCCUGGGGGAAGAUUGUAGUUAAUGUUUUAUUACUAGUUAUGUUGUAUGAGAGUCAGAUUUAUUUAUACAUUUAACUUAUCAUUUUUCAGUCGGAUGCUGACACUGUAGUCGGCCUCAUCGCUCCUGAAAUGAGCGGGAGAAGAACCUUCAGGGCUGCCAUAGUCAAACUUUAAGGACUUUGUUGAAGAUGUGGAAACUGCAGGAGGAAUGCAGGAAAAGUAAGCGGCAGUGCACGGUGAAUUAGUAGGAGAGAAAGACGGACAAGAAGUUGAGCCAUCUAGUCUAACAGUUCCCACUGUCCCUAAAGUUAUGCCAUGGGAAAGUGGCACAUCCCAAAUUAUGCUGAGCCGCAGGUCACCGGUCUAUGGCCCAUGAAAUGUCCUUCAUUUUGUCAACAAAGCAGCAUGGUGCAUCGUCCAGAGACAUACAUAUCUUUUCCAUAAAAUGUUCAAACUAGUUUUCAUUGGGACGGCAGAUAAAGCAAUCACUUACAUGUGAACACAGAAUCCUACUCAUUGCUUAAUUGCGUCACUUGUUUCUAUUUGAAGGUUUAUUUUCUGUCAAAAGGAUCACCUUUUCCCAUAGUUAAAACGUUUUUUUUGUACAUUUAAUGACUGCAACCAUUUGUAUUUCAACAGUUCCAUUUUAGUUAUUUAAAUAAACUUUGUCCAUAGUGUGGUGGCAGAAUUUGG
This is a non-coding RNA of Salmo salar (Atlantic salmon), 798 nucleotides long. The record is from RefSeq and is a predicted model, not a curated record. NCBI's taxonomy places the organism in Eukaryota, Metazoa, Chordata, Actinopteri, Salmoniformes, Salmonidae.